Long non-coding RNA from Phacochoerus africanus (Common warthog), 1800 nucleotides. RefSeq lists it as uncharacterized. The record is from RefSeq and is a predicted model, not a curated record. Lineage: Eukaryota; Metazoa; Chordata; Mammalia; Artiodactyla; Suidae. The transcript has 3 exons.
UCCUCCUCUUUCCCCACCUCCUCCCCCUCAGCCACCGCCUCCUUUUCCACCACCAACACCACUCCCUCCGGGGCACCCUGGUCCUUGCAGAGUCCCCAGCCGGCGCGGCCUCCGCUGCGAUCCCCUGGAUCCUGAACCUGCUGAGCCCAAGCUGGUGGGACAGAUGGACACAGUGACACAGAUUUCUUGUGCGUAGCUCUCCUCUGCUACUGCCCCCCGCGGCCCGGCGUCAGAGGACCUGGGAUCGCCCCGGGAGCACGCGAGGACCUCCUCGCUGUGGAACAGGCCAAUGCCUCAGCCUCCUGAGCCUCAGUUGUUUCUUCUGUAAAAUGGGAAUGACAACAUUCACACCAAUUCUUCUUCCUUCAAGAGAUGAUGCUGGAGAUCAAAUGAGGCAAAAGGUGGAAAAGUCAAUUAUAAAGCACUUUCAAAUACAAGCUGAUGGUGUGGCACACUUGGAAACAGUGAUCUUCCUGCUAUCUCCCCUGUAUGGCCUGCACCCCAUCAGGAAGACCCUUUGCCAGGCAGCUGUGUGAGGUUUACGAGUGCAGUGAGUGCAGGAGCGGUUGCUGGGGUGGCAGAAGAAACUCUGGGCCCGCUCACCACUUGUCAGCUGGAGGGGUCCUUCCAGAGCCCGAAGAUUCCCUCCCCAGAUUUUCUUUAUGAGACAGGCGGGCAAGCUGGCACUGGCACUGGUUGGGCAGCCCCAGGAGAUGGGGCUGGAGAGGCUCCAUCACUACUAUGGGUUCAGACCUCACCCUGAAACCCAUUAAACCCAUGUCUUGUAAGCCCUACAGGUGGUGUCAAGAGGCAUUUUUAGGGCACUGACGGGCUUCUCCAAAGGGAGAGGCUCUAGCUGGGUCUGUGCGCUACUCUGCAGGAAGAAGCAGUGUUUAGGGGCAGCAGGAUCUGGGGCAUCAGGAGAACCAGCGCCUCUGGUCCUCACGUGCUGUCCACCUUGGGCGAUCCCCUCUCUUCACUGGGCACAGCUGGCAGGAGAAAUUUGUAGAAGUGGACUUUCUGGAUGCAAAAGGCUUUUGCGACGAAGUUGACAAGUUGCCUUCAGAAAGCUUAUUCUCCCACCUCUGCUUUUAAAUACAUAUUUCUGCUUCACAUCUCCCCUUCUUCAAAGAACAUUAUACAACAGGCAUUUCUUAAGUUCUUCACCUCACUGGCAACAUUAUUUUAAUAGUAGCAUUCUGUCAGCCACCAACCCUCCUUGGAGCCUUCACAGUUCCUUCUGUUUCCUGGGAUAACCCCCAAAUUCCCAACUUCCAGACCAAGCAGCUUCAUUUGACAACGGGGAGCCUCCCCUGGGGGCUCCAGCUUCUAAGUUAAAAUAAAAUGGUUAACUCAGCCCAAUCCUGUUCACUCCGUGCAGCGGGAAGGUGGCCAGGAGGCACCAUGAAAUGGAAAUCAUUCUAAGAGUUUUCUGCCGUGUAUUUUUUCUACACGGUGGAGAAGAUUCAUUUGUGUUUUAAACAAAAACGCCCCCUUCUUGUCAUUUUCUCUCAGUCAAAAAGGUAUCAUCUUUUCCCCCAUCAGGUAUUUGCUUGGCAAGAAACUCCUCAUUCAGAAACCCUUCCAGCAAGGGGAUAAUUUUUUCUAAGGCAGCGAGUGACUACACACACAUCUGCAUUGACAAGUCACAACUUAUAGCCUUCUAUGGUGUUUCUGCGCUUUUGAAAAUGUUAAUAAAAACUUAAUGUGGAAAAAAAACAACUUUUUCCAAAUAUGUGUACCAAUAAGCCCAAGGCAACUCAUACUUUCUUAUAAAAUAAAGUAGGUCACUCACAUCAA